Molecule: long non-coding RNA, 100 nt
Organism: Venturia canescens
Lineage: Eukaryota; Metazoa; Arthropoda; Insecta; Hymenoptera; Ichneumonidae
Exons: 3
Source: RefSeq, a predicted model, not a curated record
GGAAGAGUACAAUUCAGAGUGUGUGGAUGGAUAUUUUGCAGACCUGUAACGAAGCGAGUGGGGUUGGUUCAACUUUUCCUGAGGGGAGACAGGAGUUUUC